UUUAUGGAGAGUUUGAUCCUGGCUCAGGAUGAACGCUGGCGGCGUGCCUAAUACAUGCAAGUCGAGCGAACGGACGAGAAGCUUGCUUCUCUGAUGUUAGCGGCGGACGGGUGAGUAACACGUGGAUAACCUACCUAUAAGACUGGGAUAACUUCGGGAAACCGGAGCUAAUACCGGAUAAUAUUUUGAACCGCAUGGUUCAAAAGUGAAAGACGGUCUUACUGUCACUUAUAGAUGGAUCCGCGCUGCAUUAGCUAGUUGGUAAGGUAACGGCUU
This 276-nucleotide ribosomal RNA is filed under the name Staphylococcus aureus. RNAcentral describes it as "partial 16S ribosomal RNA". It matches the Rfam family "Bacterial small subunit ribosomal RNA", at positions 1 to 266 of the family's 1533-position model. The record is from RNAcentral. Lineage: Bacteria; Bacillati; Bacillota; Bacilli; Caryophanales; Staphylococcaceae.